Molecule: transfer RNA, 74 nt
Filed under: Candidatus Parcubacteria bacterium
Lineage: Bacteria; Candidatus Parcubacteria
Description: tRNA-Lys
Rfam family: tRNA
About the family: Transfer RNA (tRNA) molecules are approximately 80 nucleotides in length. Their secondary structure includes four short double-helical elements and three loops (D, anti-codon, and T loops).
Source: RNAcentral
GCGCCCGUAGCUCAGUCCGGUAGAGCAGCUGGCUUUUAACCAGAUGGUCGGAGGUUCGAAUCCUCCCGGGCGCA